RNAcentral lists this ribosomal RNA (557 nucleotides) under uncultured bacterium. RNAcentral describes it as "bacterial SSU rRNA". It matches the Rfam family "Bacterial small subunit ribosomal RNA", at positions 338 to 916 of the family's 1533-position model. The record is from RNAcentral.
CCUACGGGAGGCAGCAGUGGGGAAUAUUGGACAAUGGGCGAAAGCCUGAUCCAGCAAUGCCGCGUGAGUGAUGAAGGCCUUAGGGUUGUAAAGCUCUUUUACCAGGGAUGAUAAUGACAGUACCUGGAGAAUAAGCUCCGGCCAACUCCGUGCCAGCAGCCGCGGUAAUACGGAGGGAGCUAGCGUUGUUCGGAAUUACUGGGCGUAAAGCGUACGUAGGCGGUUAUUCAAGUCAGAGGUGAAAGCCUGGAGCUCAACUCCAGAACUGCCUUUGAAACUAGAUAGCUAGAAUCUUGGAGAGGUGAGUGGAAUUCCGAGUGUAGAGGUGAAAUUCGUAGAUAUUCGGAAGAACACCAGUGGCGAAGGCGACUCACUGGACAAGUAUUGACGCUGAGGUACGAAAGCGUGGGGAGCAAACAGGAUUAGAUACCCUGGUAGUCCACGCCGUAAACGAUGAUAACUAGCUGUUCGGGCUCUACGAGCUUGAGUGGCGCAGCUAACGCAUUAAGUAUCCGCCUGGGGAUACGGUGCAAGNUUAAAACUUAAGGAAUUGACGG